This 65-nucleotide transfer RNA is filed under the name Ictidomys tridecemlineatus (thirteen-lined ground squirrel). RNAcentral's name for it is "Spermophilus tridecemlineatus (thirteen-lined ground squirrel) tRNA". It matches the Rfam family "tRNA". Rfam says of the family: Transfer RNA (tRNA) molecules are approximately 80 nucleotides in length. Their secondary structure includes four short double-helical elements and three loops (D, anti-codon, and T loops). Lineage: Eukaryota; Metazoa; Chordata; Mammalia; Rodentia; Sciuridae. The record is from Rfam by way of RNAcentral.
GGGGUUGUGGCUCAGUGGUAGAGCACUUAGCAUGUGUGAGGCUCUAGGUUCAAUACCUAGCACCA